RNAcentral lists this unclassified non-coding RNA (364 nucleotides) under uncultured bacterium. Its description in RNAcentral is "contains 16S-23S intergenic spacer region". The record is from RNAcentral.
UCCCGGUUGUCCCGGGCAGUCUGGCAUGAAAAAUCCAACAUACCAUAAGGGUUGCGCUCGUUGCGGGACUUAACCCAACAUCUCACGACACGAGCUGACGACGACCAUGCAGCACCUGUCACCUGGCUCCCGAAGGCACCCCUCUGUUUCCAGAGGGUUCCAGGGAUGUCAAGCCUCGGUAAGGUUCUUCGCGUUGCUUCGAAUUAAACCACAUCAUCCACCGCUUGUGCGGGUCCCCGUCAAUUCCUUUGAGUUUUAAGCUUGCGCUCGUACUCCCCAGGCGGCACACUUAACGCGUUAGCUACGCAGCUCAGGGGGUCGAUACCCCAAACUGCUAGUGUGCAUCGUUUACGGCGUGGACUAC